AGGUAUGAAGGUGAUCUACUUACAACAUUUCUCUCUGCGUGGUGGCCAGGCUUGAUGCAGCCCAUUUGGCUGGCUAAGCAGGUGGCCCCUUCCUUCCUUACUUAAAGCUCUGCGCUUGGUCAAAGCGGUCAGUCUUCUUCUUGAAUAGAGAAGCAGCAUCCUUCUGAUCUGGGUCUGUGGGAAAGUGUGCUCCUCUGCCAAUCCUUCUAAACGAUCCCUCCAGGUCCAAAAAGAAAUUUGCAGAGUGUUUGUGAGGGUUAGAUGACAUCACAGAUAUAAAACACUUUGUAAACCCUACGGGUUUCUUCCAUUUGGUU
RNAcentral lists this small nuclear RNA (317 nucleotides) under Pteropus vampyrus (large flying fox). RNAcentral's name for it is "7SK RNA (ENSPVAG00000029684.1)". It matches the Rfam family "7SK RNA". Rfam says of the family: 7SK was discovered as an abundant small nuclear RNA in the mid-70s but a possible function has only recently been suggested. Two independent studies have found that 7SK RNA binds the CDK9/cyclin T complex (known as elongation factor P-TEFb). The record is from RNAcentral. Lineage: Eukaryota; Metazoa; Chordata; Mammalia; Chiroptera; Pteropodidae.